This 299-nucleotide long non-coding RNA is filed under the name Rattus norvegicus (Norway rat). Its description in RNAcentral is "long non-coding RNA NONRATT016889". The record is from RNAcentral. Lineage: Eukaryota; Metazoa; Chordata; Mammalia; Rodentia; Muridae.
GUUCUCUCAGUAGAAACUGUUGUUGUCAGGGUGAGAAUCCAGAAACCUGUGGUGCCUCCUUUUCUUAUGGUUGUUCUUGGAGCAUGUACUAUAAUGGAUGUAAGUUUGCCAGAAGCAAGAACCCAAGGAAAUUUAGGCUACAUGGAGAUGAGCCAAAAGAGGAAGAGAAACUUGGCUCUCACUUGCAAAACCUGGCUACUGUUAUUGCUCCCAUAUACAAGAAACUUGCACCUGAUGCCUACAGGAAUCAGCACAACUUCGGCUUUCGGGAUCUGUCAUCCAGCAGCCACAGUCACUCC